CACGCCGUAAACGAUGAGUGCUAGGUGUUGGGUGUCAAAGCUCAGUGCCGCAGCUAACGCAAUAAGCACUCCGCCUGGGGAGUACGAUGGCAACAUUGAAACUCAAAGGAAUUGACGGGGACCCGCACAAGCAGCGGAGCAUGUGGUUUAAUUCGAUGCAACGCGAAGAACCUUACCAAGGCUUGACAUUGAGUGAAAGGCUAAGAGAUUAGCCCCUCUCUUCGGAGACACGAAAACAGGUGG
RNAcentral lists this ribosomal RNA (243 nucleotides) under uncultured bacterium. RNAcentral's name for it is "partial 16S ribosomal RNA". It matches the Rfam family "Bacterial small subunit ribosomal RNA", at positions 796 to 1041 of the family's 1533-position model. The record is from RNAcentral.